UGGGGAAUUGUUCGCAAUGGGCGCAAGCCUGACGACGCAACGCCGCGUGGAGGAUGAAGGUCUUCGGAUUGUAAACUCCUGUUGAUCGGGACGAAAAGCUUCAACCCAAUACGUUGAAGACUGACGGUACCGGUUGAGGAAGCCACGGCUAACUCUGUGCCAGCAGCCGCGGUAAUACAGAGGUGGCAAGCGUUGUUCGGAAUUACUGGGCGUAAAGGGCGCGUAGGCGGCCUUCUAAGUCGGACGUGAAAGCCCCAGGCUUAACCUGGGAACUGCGUCCGAUACUGGGGGGCUUGGAUUCGGGAGAGGGAUGUGGAAUUCCAGGUGUAGCGGUGAAAUGCGUAGAUAUCUGGAGGAACACCGGUGGCGAAGGCGGCAUCCUGGACCGAGAUCGACGCUGAGGCGCGAAAGCUAGGGGAGCAAACGGG
This 428-nucleotide ribosomal RNA is filed under the name uncultured bacterium. RNAcentral describes it as "bacterial SSU rRNA". It matches the Rfam family "Bacterial small subunit ribosomal RNA", at positions 355 to 776 of the family's 1533-position model. The record is from RNAcentral.